RNAcentral lists this ribosomal RNA (468 nucleotides) under uncultured bacterium. Its description in RNAcentral is "partial 16S ribosomal RNA". It matches the Rfam family "Bacterial small subunit ribosomal RNA", at positions 28 to 507 of the family's 1533-position model. The record is from RNAcentral.
GACGAACGCUGGCGGCGUGCUUAACACAUGCAAGUCGAACGGAAAGGCCCUGCUUUUGUGGGGUGCUCGAGUGGCGAACGGGUGAGUAACACGUGAGUAACCUGCCCUUGACUUUGGGAUAACUUCAGGAAACUGGGGCUAAUACCGGAUAGGAGCUCCUGCUGCAUGGUGGGGGUUGGAAAGUUUCGGCGGUUGGGGAUGGACUCGCGGCUUAUCAGCUUGUUGGUGGGGUAGUGGUUUACCAAGGCUUUGACGGGUAGCCGGCCUGAGAGGGUGACCGGCCACAUUGGGACUGAGAUACGGCUCAGACUCCUACGGGAGGCAGCAGUGGGGAAUAUUGCACAAUGGGCGGAAGCCUGAUGCAGCAACGCCGCGUGCGGGAUGACGGCCUUCGGGUUGUAAACCGCUUUCGCCUGUGACGAAGCGUGAGUGACGGUAAUGGGUAAAGAAGCACCGGCUAACUACGUG